RNAcentral lists this ribosomal RNA (492 nucleotides) under uncultured bacterium. Its description in RNAcentral is "partial 16S ribosomal RNA". It matches the Rfam family "Bacterial small subunit ribosomal RNA", at positions 29 to 507 of the family's 1533-position model. The record is from RNAcentral.
AGUGAACGCUGGCGGUAGGCCUAACACAUGCAAGUCGAACGGCAGCACAGUAAGAGCUUGCUCUUACGGGAGGCGAGUGGCGGACGGGUGAGGAAUACAUCGGAAUCUACUUUUUCGUGGGGGAUAACGUAGGGAAACUUACGCUAAUACCGCAUACGACCUACGGGUGAAAGCAGGGGAUCUUCGGACCUUGCGCGAUUGAAUGAGCCGAUGUCGGAUUAGCUAGUUGGCGGGGUAAAGGCCCACCAAGGCGACGAUCCGUAGCUGGUCUGAGAGGAUGAUCAGCCACCCUGGAACUGAGACACGGUCCAGACUCCUACGGGAGGCAGCAGUGGCGAAUAUUGGACAAUGGGCGCAAGCCUGAUCCAGCCAUACCGCGUGGGUGAAGAAGGCCUUCCGGUUGUAAAGCCCUUUUGUUGGGAAAGAAAAGCAGCAGGUUAAUACCCCGCUGUUCUGACGGUACCCAAAGAAUAAGCACCGGCUAACUUCGUG